UCCCUUGUGGCUCAGCUGGUAGAGACUCCACCUGCAAUGUGGGUAGACCUGGGUUCAAUCCCUAGGUUGGGAA
This 73-nucleotide transfer RNA is filed under the name Bos indicus x Bos taurus (hybrid cattle). It matches the Rfam family "tRNA". From Rfam's summary of the family: Transfer RNA (tRNA) molecules are approximately 80 nucleotides in length. Their secondary structure includes four short double-helical elements and three loops (D, anti-codon, and T loops). The record is from Rfam by way of RNAcentral. Lineage: Eukaryota; Metazoa; Chordata; Mammalia; Artiodactyla; Bovidae.